This 480-nucleotide ribosomal RNA is filed under the name uncultured bacterium. Its description in RNAcentral is "partial 16S ribosomal RNA". It matches the Rfam family "Bacterial small subunit ribosomal RNA", at positions 28 to 507 of the family's 1533-position model. The record is from RNAcentral.
GAUGAACGCUAGCGGCAGGCCUAACACAUGCAAGUCGAGGGGUAGAAGGAGCUUGCUCCUUUGAGACCGGCGCACGGGUGCGUAACGCGUAUGCAAUCUACCUUGUACAGGGGAAUAGCCCAGAGAAAUUUGGAUUAAUGCCCCAUAGUAUAUAACCUUCGCAUGUUGGUUAUAUUAAAGUUCCAACGGUACAAGAUGAGCAUGCGUCCCAUUAGUUAGUUGGUAAGGUAACGGCUUACCAAGACGAUGAUGGGUAGGGGUCCUGAGAGGGAGAUCCCCCACACUGGUACUGAGACACGGACCAGACUCCUACGGGAGGCAGCAGUGAGGAAUAUUGGUCAAUGGUCGCAAGACUGAACCAGCCAUGCCGCGUGCAGGAAGCCGGUCCUAUGGAUUGUAAACUGCUUUUAUACAGGAAGAAACCCUCCCACGUGUGGGAGCUUGACGGUACUGUAGGAAUAAGGAUCGGCUAACUCCGUG